UACGAGGGGAGCAAGCGUUGUUCGGAUUUACUGGGCGUAAAGGGCGCGUAGGCGGCGUGACAAGUCACUUGUGAAAUCUCCGGGCUUAACUCGGAACGGUCAAGUGAUACUGUCGUGCUAGAGUACAGAAGGGGCAACUGGAAUUCUCGGUGUAGCGGUGAAAUGCGUAGAUAUCGAGAGGAACACCUGCGGCGAAGGCGGGUCUCUGGACAGUUCCUGACACUGAGGCACGAAGGCCAGGGGAGCAAACGGG
This 253-nucleotide ribosomal RNA is filed under the name uncultured bacterium. RNAcentral's name for it is "partial 16S ribosomal RNA". It matches the Rfam family "Bacterial small subunit ribosomal RNA", at positions 524 to 776 of the family's 1533-position model. The record is from RNAcentral.